UUGACAGGGAUGAUAUGACACAGAAAAGAAAUCAUCCGGGUAGGGGUGGUUGGAAGCUCUAAUGUAGCUGGUCAUGGGAAGUGCAGAGAAACCUGAAAGGAAAAAAAAAUCUCCAAACUACAUUACCAGCAAUCUUGAUUGAAAAAAUAUCGUAAUCCAUUACCUUCCUCUUAUUAAAGACCAACUAAUAGUAAAAACAUGGUUGAUUGAAGACAAAUAAAAAAGAAUGAGAAAACUGAGGGAAAAUAAUGUAUCGAAUUGCGAAAAGAAAGAUCCCACAAGAGAUCCAACUCGAUAUAUUCAAUAAUAUGGAUUGAUAUAGCUGGUAACAUGAACCAGUAUCAAAUCAUUACGCACUUCAUUCCGAUUAAUAAUUGGAUGUGCAAAAUGGGUGAAACAAACAAGAUCUAUAAAUGUUAAGAGAACAACUUUGUAAGGAAAACCAUACCACGCCAACUUUGUAAGUAAAAAUGACAUUUUCAAGUUUUGUACCAAUUUGACAAUAUGAAUACACAAUGAUAUGAAAAUGCUUAAAGAAGUAAAUUUUGAUCUGACCUCUAACUGUUAGAUUAAAAUCUGAUCAUAAAACAAAACAUUAAAAAACACGUAAUAAAAUCAACAAAUAAAAUUGAGAGACAAAAAAAGAUUAAAUAAAUUAGGGUUUCAAAUAUAAAAAUAAAUGUAGGGAAAAUGAUUGUUGUGAUUUUCAACUUUAAAAAUGAAAAACAACUGCCCAUUUUCCCAAAUUAAUAUUGCUAGGGAACACUUUCGGAAGAAUGCAUUUGAUCAUAGCAAAACACCGAUACACACUAUCCCUGCUUGUUAACAAAACAUCAUCUAUUUCAACAAAUAUUCAUUUACAGCAUAAUUAAAAUGAACACCUCAAACCUAAUGAUCGUAUCUAAACAAAACAAGUUACAAUAUUUUGUUCACCAAAAAAUUACGGUGAAAAACUUUGUUCAAAGAAUAAAUUUGAAGGAAACAAGUUAAAAAGUAAAAACACCUCAAUUGCAAGAGGGAGAAACAUGCACAAAUGAUAGAAUUGAAAAACACAAAACAUAGGAAUAAUCCAAACUCCAAGCACAUUUAAAAUCAAACAUUUAUUUAGAGCAAAUAUAAAAAUGAAAUCCUCAAAGCUAAUGAACAAAGCAGUAGGAAGAUAGAUAGUAAUGCUCAUAUAUCAAAACAAAACAAAUUACACUAUACUACUACGUUGCUUUGCUGAUCGAAAUCUUUUUCUGCGCUUCGAGAGUAACAAUUCUACCACUGAUUCAUGUUAAAUUCGUAAUGAUCCAAGAAAAGCAAAUCUAAAAAAUCUAUUUUCCACUGCCUUUAUGAACAUGAUCUCUCACAGUGGCAUCAGAGCCUGGUUAAAUACAUUGUCUUUAAAGAAGCAUUCAUUGUUUAUUAAAAUUGUAAAAUGAGAGAUAAUUUGGAUUUAACUAGAAUGAUAUAACAUAAGGUCAUAUGUAGAAUCCAAAUGGAGCAGAAGCGAGCACAUAAAAAUUGUCACUUCUGUAACGAUGGACUCAUUAAUCUCCCAGACUAGUAACUGCAUCAACCAUAGUAUGUUGAGGAUGAGUCAUGACUAAAGUCUGGAGACAUUAACAAUCACAAAUUCACAAUAGGCAACUGUAUUCAAAAUAUUUCAUAUUUAUCCAAUUAAUAGCUGAAAGAUGGUAUCAGUAUCACAAUAGACAUUAGACACUCAAGUUUCAAAAUGAACUGAACUUCCAAAAUCAAAAUCAAGAUAUAGAAGAAAAACCAAAAUGCCGUAACCUUUACAUGGAUAACAUAUUACAAAACCCUGAAAGAUCAGAGGCUUUGAUGUAGCUGGUCAUGGGAGGGGCUUUGAUGCCCCAACCUUACAAUUAUUGGAGGUAGAGAAACCUGAAAGAUUGGAUUUGGAGGCUCUAAUGUAGCUGGUCAUGGGAGGUUUAGAGAAACCCAAAAGAAAAAGAUCUCCACAUUACAGUCCCGACAAUCUGUGUAAAGUAUAUCAAACCCCAAUCAUUCCUCUUAUAAAAUAAUAACAGAUAGUUAAAGUAGUUGACUGAAGAUAAAAAAAAAAAAAAAAAUAGGAAAACUUGUUUUUGAAUCGGCAAAAAUAUAUUGCGACUACUCAUACCCAAGAACAAGUUGUACUCGGACAAGAGCCAUGCAACAACAUGGAAAAUUCAGAGUCAAGACACCCCUCAGCCUUACACCAAAACUAACUUUGUAAAGAAAUUUAUACACCGAACCCAAGUUCACUUCGUGCAUUAUUAAAUUAACACAGGACCAUGAUUAAAGCCAGAAAAUCUGAGUAUGCAUCAGAAUAAAGAGAAAAAAAAGAAUUAGCAUAACCCUUCACUUUUUAAAAUAUAUACAAAAUAUAAACAGGGAAUUAGUAGCAGUAGGCUUAUAUUGAAGAAAACCCAUGUGUCACAAGACCCGUAAAAGUUCCCUGUAUGCCCCUGAAAACGAAAUGUUCGGCUACAAGACAAAAGUCCGAAUUCUGGACAUCAGAUACCAUAUCCAAAUAUACACAAAAGUUAAGAGCAAAACAAAAAAUGAGAAAUAAAAAAUGCAUAAUUCAAGAAAUCUGAUGUGAGUUAUGAAUGGUUUCAAAAACUUGGAAGAGAUCAGAUGGUAGUGCAUGUUUGUUUCAUCAUCUAUAACAGAACCGUUGGAUAAAUAUCAUCAUAUCUCUUUGCAUUUCAUGUAAACAUACUAUAUUUAAAAGUAAAUCAUCUUUAGGUUUCAAAAAAAAAAAGUAAAUCAUCUUUAAAUGAACAUAUGCUAUAUAAAAAUCUAAAUGGCAAAAUUUUUAAAAACAAAAAUAGUAAAAAACAUGUCAUCAAAGUUAAAUAAGACUGGGUAUAAAAAACAUGUCAUCAAAUCAAAUACUCAAUGGGUUUGUCAAAAUUAGGGAGGCACCGCAAUUUUGUUGAAGCUCUAAAAAGUAGCUUUUGCAAAUUGCAACUAUGUUUUCGCCAAAUUCAACACAAAAACACAGCAAAAAAAAGUUAAUUUCUUAAAACUAAAACAAAAUUUAUUUGAUAUUAAAAAACUACAAUCUGGAAGAUGAGAUCAGAUAGUCGAUCUUUCACCAAGUAUGAAAUUCACAGUAAGACUGGACGUCACAUUUAAAGAUGUUAUCCACAUAUCCCUAUGUAUUAAUGUUGCAAACUGNNNNNNNNNNNNNNNNNNNNNNNNNNNNNNNNNNNNNNNNNNNNNNNNNNNNNNNNUGAGUAUAAUGAAAUUAACACUUUAAAAUCUAAGAUAAAAUAACAGGAUCAGAUAAUAAGUCAGUCACCAUGUUACACUUGAAAGUGCAAAUUAAGACUGGGGCGACAAUUACUAUCAUCACAUCCAAUUUUUUGCGAAUUUAUUAAGUUAUAUCAAAGAAUGUAUUCAAUAAUUCAAUAGGCAGAAUUAAAAAAAAAGUGAAGAUGUAAUAACAGAUUAUUCGAAAAUAAGUCUUGUUAGUAAUGUUACCACUUAGAAUUUACAAAAUUACUUCGCACAGAUCAUGAAUAAUACUAACAGAUAAAAUAGGAUCGGAAUUUGAAUGAGUGAAGAGUGGUUUCCCAGAGUAAUAUUACCAUGUGAUUCAUUUCUGCACAUGAUUGGAUGAAAAUAAUACUUACAUCGCAAUCAAACAACACAAAAAUUGCACCAACAUGUUAUCAAGAACCCAAACCUUUGAUAUAGAAUCUAAAUGAAACAAAUACAAAUUACUAUGAUUAUUGUUUAUUCAAAAAAUAGUAAAGUAACUAAAACAUAAAAAUAGAGAAAUAUAUCUAUAUACCUACAAAGUAUAUUCAUAUUAUAUGUUUGUUGCAUUUUUCGAAGAAAUAUAUUUUGGAGUUUAAAUAAACAAGUUUGUUGCAUACACAGACAGUAUACCACUAAUUGUGAUCAUUUUUGGCAUUAGUAUACUAACCCAAAAAAGGGAUAUAUUGUAUGUGUUUAUAGUAAAUCUGUUUACCUUAACUUUAAAAUGUAUUACUGCGAAAAGUGCAACAAAUGUUAUUAUGAAUUAGGAAUAUAUCUUAUAUGUAAUAUUUCUUUAAUUUUCAAUGUUUAUGUUUCAUGCAUAACAUUUUGUACAACCAAUAAUAUCAAUAAUUGAUAUAGUUUCACUUAGAUAUUAUUAUCGAGAUUCUAUCUAUUGAUUAUAAUUAAUGUGUAGCAUUUGUGCUAUUUGAUCGUGAUGUAAGUCUAUGUUUCAACAAAUAAUGAGUAAAAAUGCUUAAAACACAUGAAGGGAGUGCUAGCAACACUCUCUAACACUCACUUUCUAAUUGAGUGAGAGUCAUGUGGGUCUCAUCACAUUUUGCUAUAGAAAACUUCAUGUACACUCCAUUUGGUUGGAAGGAAAGAAAGUGUGAAGGAAGGAAAACACGGAAACCAAUGAGUGAACUUAAACUACAAUUUAGACCAAGUUCAUUCUUCGGUUUCUGUAUUUUCCUUCCUUCCCAUUUCUUUUCUUCCAACCAAACAGAACCAUAACAAGCGAACAUAGUUGAGGACAUAGAACUGUAGAGUCCAAAUGGAGCAGAUGCAAGCACAAAGAAAACUUCAUCUGUAACGAUGGACUCGUUAAUUUUCCAGACUAGUAACUGUAUCAACAAUGGUAUGAUAGAAGGACACAUGACUUAAGUCUGGAGUCAGUAAAGUAUAUAUCAGAGAACCAAAAACUUAAAAUGCAAAACAGAAAAUAAAAUAAAAUAAAAAAACGCAGUGAGUUCUAACUAUUUUAUAUUUAUCCAACUAAUUGCUGAAAUAUGGCACCACAAAAGACACCAAUUAUACAAAAUGAUAUAAACUUCAAAAAAAAUAAAAUCCAAAAUGUUCCAACCUUGACAGGGAUGAUAAGAUACAGAAAAGAAAUCAUCCAGGUAGGGGUGGUUGGAAGCUCUAAAUGUAGCUGGUCAUGGGAAGUGCAGAGAAACCUGAAAAAGAAAAUUUCCACACUACAUUACCAGCAACCUUUGUUGAAAAACUAUCAUAAUCCAUUACCUUACUCUAAUUAAACAUCAACAGAUAGUAAAAACAUGGUUGAUUGAAGACAAAUAAAAAAGAAUGAGAAAAUUGAGGGAAAAUAAAGUAUCGAAUUGCGAAAAGAAAGAUCCCACAAGAGAUCCAACUCGAUAUAUUCGAUAAUAUGGCUUGAUAUAGCUAGUACCAUGAACCAGUAUCAAAUCAUUACACACUUAAUUGCAAUUAAUAAUUGGAUGUGCACGUAUCAUGACACACUGCUAAACCAGCAAAAUGUGCAUCUUCUGAGUGAAUCAUGACUCAGGACAUGAAGAGAAUCAAAGUUCAUACCUCAACAAUCAAUUUCAUUUUAUGAAUUAGAUUAUGAAAACAUUAACCCAAAAUGAGUGAAACAAACAAUAUCUGAGAACAACUUUGUAAAAGAUUAACAAAAUGGGGGUUGUAAAUGUAGGGAAAAUGAUUGUUGUGAUUUUCAACUUUAAAAUGAAACACAACUGCCCAUUUUCCCAAAUUAAUAUUGCUAGGGAACACUUUCGGAAGAAUGCAUUUGAUCAUAGCAAAACACCAAUACACACUAUCCCUGCUUGUUAACAAAACAUCAUCUAUUUCAACAAAUAUUCAUUUAGAGCAUAAUCAAAAUGAACUCCGCAAACCUAAUGAUCAUAUCUAAACAAAACAAGUUACAAUAUUUUGUUCACCAAAAAAUUACGGUGAAAAACUUUGUUCAAAGAAUAAAUUUCAAGGAAACAAGUUACAAAGUAAAAACACCUCAAAUGAUAGAAUUGAAAAACACAAAAUGUAGGAAUAAUCCAAACUCCAAGCACAUUUACAAUCAGCGCAAGAAGCCUAACUAAUUCCAUCAAACAUUUAUUUAGAGCAAUUAUAAAAAUGAACUCCUCAAAGCUAAUGAACAAAGCAGUAGGAAGAUAGUAAUGCUCAUGUAUCAAAAGAAAACAAAUUACAAUAUAAUUGUAACAAUUGUUCCUAAAAACUCAAGGAACAUUGUUCCUAAAAACUCAAGGCUCCUACACAAUCUUUAAUCACAUCUUUCAACAAAUAAAAUACAAACAAACUCAACUACAAGUUUUGAAGUAUCAACACAGACACAACACAUGUACAUCAACACCAAUAAUAAUUUAAAAAUAAAUAACCUUUUCGGCAUCCAUCUGUAUGAUACCCAGACACACAUAAUCCAAGAAGGGUAGAUAGUUUACAAGAGGUGGAAAAACAAAAAACUUUGAUAACUAACUACUUUGACUCCUAGAUUGAGUUAAUAAAACUAUGUGGGCAUUGUAAAGAAAAUGUACCAUUAACACCUAGGUAAACAAUGAAAUUUUGUUUCCUUAGCAAACAAAACAUGGCAUCAAUGGACGUGAAGAUGAUAUUGUCAUCCUCAGACACGAGAAAGUCAAGUAUGAAUAACUAGCUCGCUGUAAAGAUGACAAUUUCAAGAUCUAUAUAUGUUAAGAGAACAGCUUCUCUUUUAUAAAUAUAUGUAAAAAAUAUAAACAGGGAAUUAGUAACAGUAGGCUAAUAUUGUAGAAAACCUCUGUGUCGCAAGACCUGUAAAAGUUCGAUGUAUGCCCGUAAAAACGAAAUGUCCAGCUACAAGACAGAAGUCCGAAUUCUGGACAUCAGAUACCAUAGGCAAAUAAAUACAUAAAGUGAGAAAAAAAGGCUUAAUUCAAGAAAUCUAGAGACAUAUGAAUGCUUUCAAAAAACUUGCAAGAGAUCAGAUGGUAGUGCAUGUUUGUUUCAUCAUCAAUAACAGAACCGUUGGAUAAAUAUCAUCAUAUCUCCUUGCAUUUCAUGCCAAAAAACUAUCUUUAUUUAAAAUUAAAUCAUGACUAAACAAAACAUAUGCUAUAUAAAAAUCUAAACAAAAUCAUGACUAAACAAAAUGGCAUGAUUUUUCAAACAAAUUUAGUAAAACACAUGCCACCAAAUGCAUGUGUGAUUUUGCAAAAGCAAUGAGUGUAGCUUUUUCAAUAUAAUUUUUAAGAGGAAAACAAAUGGAACCCAAUGUAAAUCAUUUUUAAGGGAAAAAUCUAUUUGAGAUUAAGAUUCAAACCAAAAUUAUGGAUAGAGAAAAAGAUGUUCACUCAGAGUUACAAAAAGAUCAAAAAAUUAACUUCCAUAAUGCAUCUGCCUUCUAGUCACGGGUUCAAAACAUCUGCAAAUAUAACCAAAAUGCAAAAAAUAAGCAUGUAAUUACACGGUAAAUAAAUUAGAAUAAGAGGAUGAUAAUAUUAUCAUCUUACAAUUUUGGUUAUUCUGAAGUGCACUAACUAACAUAAAAUGGUAAAUUCUACCAAAAAUUCACUUGGCUAUUAAUAUUUGCAGAACUAUUCACAGUAGAAAUGCAUUUUUUUUAAAAGCCAAGAAUAACAACAACAAAAAAACAAGCAGGGUUGCUUAGAUAACCAGGUACCAAUUAUACAAUCAUCAAGAUCAAACAAGUAAACAACAAAACCAAACGAAACACUUUUACCAAAACUAACGUCUAAGCCAAGAACAAACAGAACCUCUAUCUUACUGUUACUAUGCACAAAAGAAAUGAAAUUACAACAUUUUGAAAAAGGAUUCAGGAAAAAGGGAAAUUAUAAACCAAUCAUAUUGGAGAACAUCUCCAUGGAUAAACAAAUAUGCUCGAUCAGAAAGGGUUUUAGCUGGACAGAAUACAGACAACAUAUGGUAAAAACUGGACCAGAAAAAAUUGAAACUGUAAGCCAAUAUCAUUGGAGAACAUCUCCAUAGAUUUAAAGAGAAGCCUCAAGCAGAAAGGCUUUACACUUGAUAUACGCACAGAUAAAAUCCUGGAAACAAUUUUUGCUAACAAGAAGAACUAAGUGCGAUUUACUUUUUUGCCAGAAAAUAAUAAAAAGAUCAAUUUUCAAGUAAUGUACAGAUUACAUGGAUUAUUUAAGGAGAUAAGUUAUGAAUACAUUUGAUAAGUUAUGGAUUAUCUGUGAGCCAAAUACAUUGGAGCGCAUCUCCAUAGAUAUAAAGAGAAGUCUUCCAUUUGUAAAACACAUGCCAUCAAAUGCAAUGAGUGUAGCUUUUUCAAUAUCAUGGCUCGCCGUGAUUUUUCCAAACUCACCAAAAUCCAAACAUACACUAAAUCUAAACAAAGACAACAAAAAAAAAGUUAUUUUCUUAACUAAAACAAAAAUUAUUUGACAUUAAAAAAUUACAAUCGGUAAGAUGGGAUCAGAUAGUCGAUCUUUCACCAAAUAUGAAAUUCACAGUAAGACUGGACGUCACAUUUAAAGAUUUUAUCCUCAUAUCCCAAUGAAUCAAUUAAAACAAAAAUAAACAAACACAAGCAAAAUUUAAUUAAUUUGAGUAUAAUGAAAUUGAAACUAAAAAUUAUAAAACUAUAAUUAGAGGAUCAGAUAAAAAGUCAGUCACCAUGUUACACUUGAUAGUGCAAAUUAAGACUGGGGCGACAAUUACUAUCAUCAUAUCCUCCUCAUAAUAAUCAUGAAUUUAUAAAGUCAUAUCAUAGAAUGUAUUUGAUAAUAAUUUGAUAUAAUAGAGCUUGAAAUUAACUUACAGAAAAUGAGAUUGGAAUUGGAGAAAGUGAUGAUGGAGAAAUUCUUACAUUGAUUUGAGAUUGGAAUGAAUUAUUUGCUGGUAGAAACAAUUGGUGCAAUUAGGGUUUGUGUUUGGG
This 8659-nucleotide long non-coding RNA is filed under the name Trifolium pratense (red clover). RNAcentral's name for it is "long non-coding RNA (TPRA_LNC000233)". Lineage: Eukaryota; Viridiplantae; Streptophyta; Magnoliopsida; Fabales; Fabaceae. The record is from RNAcentral.